AGGGAACUAGUCUAAAACAAGACCUUUGAUUUCGGCUCAGAGAAUCGUGGUUAGAGUCCACGGCCCCCUU
Molecule: transfer RNA, 70 nt
Filed under: Vanmanenia stenosoma
Lineage: Eukaryota; Metazoa; Chordata; Actinopteri; Cypriniformes; Gastromyzontidae
Description: tRNA-Arg
Rfam family: tRNA
About the family: Transfer RNA (tRNA) molecules are approximately 80 nucleotides in length. Their secondary structure includes four short double-helical elements and three loops (D, anti-codon, and T loops). Further hydrogen bonds mediate the characteristic L-shaped molecular structure. tRNAs have two regions of fundamental functional importance: the anti-codon, which is responsible for specific mRNA codon recognition, and the 3' end, to which the tRNAs corresponding amino acid is attached (by aminoacyl-tRNA synthetases). tRNAs cope with the degeneracy of the genetic code in two manners: having more than one tRNA (with a specific anti-codon) for a particular amino acid; and 'wobble' base-pairing, i.e. permitting non-standard base-pairing at the 3rd anti-codon position.
Source: RNAcentral